GGCAUGGUGGUGCAGUGGUUAGCACUGGUUAGCACACAUUUUUACAGCAAGAAGGUCGCAGGUUCGAACCCGGCCUGGGGCC
Gymnothorax javanicus (giant moray) is the source of this 82-nucleotide non-coding RNA. The record is from the annotation of a GenBank genome assembly. Lineage: Eukaryota; Metazoa; Chordata; Actinopteri; Anguilliformes; Muraenidae.